AGUGAACGCUGGCGGUAGGCCUAACACAUGCAAGUCGAACGGCAGCACAGUAAGAGCUUGCUCUUACGGGUGGCGAGUGGCGGACGGGUGAGGAAUACAUCGGAAUCUACUUUUUCGUGGGGGAUAACGUAGGGAAACUUACGCUAAUACCGCAUACGACCUACGGGUGAAAGCAGGGGAUCUUCGGACCUUGCGCGAUUGAAUGAGCCGAUGUCGGAUUAGCUAGUUGGCGGGGUAAAGGCCCACCAAGGCGACGAUCCGUAGCUGGUCUGAGAGGAUGAUCAGCCACACUGGAACUGAGACACGGUCCAGGCUCCUGCGGGAGGCAGCAGUGGGGAAUAUGGGACAAUGGGCGCAAGCCUGAUCCAGCCAUACCGCGUGGGUGAAGAAGGCCUUCGGGUUGUAAAGCCCUUUUGUUGGGAAAGAAAAGCAGCAGGUUAAUACCCCGCUGUUCUGACGGUACCCAAAGAAUAAGCACCGGCUAACUUCGUG
This 492-nucleotide ribosomal RNA is filed under the name uncultured bacterium. RNAcentral describes it as "partial 16S ribosomal RNA". It matches the Rfam family "Bacterial small subunit ribosomal RNA", at positions 29 to 507 of the family's 1533-position model. The record is from RNAcentral.